CAGUCGCCACGGUAAUACGGAAGGGGCUAGCGUUGUUCGGAAUCACUGGGCGUAAAGCGCACGUAGGCGGACUUUUAAGUCAGGGGUGAAAUCCCUAGGCUCAACCUUGGAACUGCCUUUGAUACUGGAAGUCUUGAGUUCGGGAGAGGUGAGUGGAACUGCGAGUGUAGAGGUGAAAUUCGUAGAUAUUCGCAAGAGCACCAGUGGCGAAGGCGGCUCACUGGCCCGAUACUGACGCUGAGGUGCGAAAGCGUGGGGAGCAAACAGGAUUAGAUACCCCUGUAGUCCCUGUCUCUUAUAA
This 301-nucleotide ribosomal RNA is filed under the name uncultured bacterium. RNAcentral describes it as "partial 16S ribosomal RNA". It matches the Rfam family "Bacterial small subunit ribosomal RNA", at positions 509 to 809 of the family's 1533-position model. The record is from RNAcentral.